RNAcentral lists this unclassified non-coding RNA (216 nucleotides) under Ambispora leptoticha. RNAcentral describes it as "partial contains 5.8S ribosomal RNA and internal transcribed spacer 2". The stretch from base 1 to 71 matches the Rfam family "5.8S ribosomal RNA", at positions 84 to 154 of the family's 154-position model. Lineage: Eukaryota; Fungi; Glomeromycota; Glomeromycetes; Archaeosporales; Ambisporaceae. The record is from RNAcentral.
GUGAAUCAUCGAAUCUUUGAACGCAUAUUGCACUCUCUGGUAUUCCGGAGAGUAUGCCUAUUUGAGGGUCAGUUGAAAUAAUAUAAAUUCCAAGAUUUCUCGGAAUUUAAAAUGGGUGGUCCAUUUGUUGUGGUCGCCUAAAAUCCAAGACAAGCUCAUUUUCUUGGGUUGCGUGAUACUUUCAAUUACCUCUGGACUAACCCAGAAAUAAGCGGG